UUCAAGUCGUGGUCCAGGACGGUAGUCCACGACUGAGAUCCACGACUGAUUCGAGAAACCUCGGUCCCGUGCUGUCGGCGGCGGCUUCUACUUGUUCCGGCGGCGUGGCUACGGGCUGGAGUUGCUGAUGGAACCCCUGGACCGGUUGUGGCUGGGCAGUGCACCACCAGACAGAACUCCGUGUGCAUUGAGAAUGAGUGCGUUGGAACAGUCUCUUUGGAAAUUCACGGAUGAGCCCAUGAAAAGUGUGAUCAAACCUGAACUUGGCAGAUUGAAAAUUGUACAACAUCAUUUGCAGUCUCUUCGGAUCUGUUGAGAAAGUACCAUUCUCAAAGAGUACUUUGCGGAACAUAUGUGGAAGAUUAGUCAUGAGUAGGCAGAUGAUGAUGUGAGGACAACUUUGGUUGUUUUCGCCCAUAUUGUUGCUGGUGACCCAUACACUACAUGUCGAGUUAUUGAAGCCCGAGCAAGAUCAAGAAUUUGAUGUGGACAAAUGGGAACAGUCACAUGCAGUACCGGUAGUUUGGUGAUGUAGUCACUUUUGACACGACGCACAGGACGAAUCUGUACGGCAUGCCAUUCGGGCAUUUGUUGGGGUGAACAACCAUUUACAGUGCAUUAUUUUGGUAGGGGUUCUAAUGAGGGACAAGCAGAUCGAAAGUUUCAAAUGGGCAUUCACUAAGUUCCUUUCCAUGAUUGGUGGCCGAGCCCCGAAAACAAUCCUCACAGAGCUAUGGAGGUGCCAAUCAGCAACUGUAUCCAGACACUCAAAAAGGCUAAGGAGUGCCUAGGUCCUUUGUACACAAAGAAGAAUGAGUUCAGAUCUGAAUUCCACAAGGUUGUGAACCACAAACUACGAUGAUGAGACGAUGGAUGGCUGCGAUGAACGCGAGGAUAAGGACGUGCAAGUACGUCCGUACGUGGACUCUGCUUAGUCUCUUCUGGUUCAGGCAGUAAGCAGGUCAUUCCGUUGACGCAAUGGUACAGGUUGGACAACUACACU
Molecule: long non-coding RNA, 1003 nt
Organism: Triticum aestivum (bread wheat)
Lineage: Eukaryota; Viridiplantae; Streptophyta; Magnoliopsida; Poales; Poaceae
Exons: 3
Source: RefSeq, a predicted model, not a curated record